RNAcentral lists this ribosomal RNA (468 nucleotides) under uncultured bacterium. Its description in RNAcentral is "partial 16S ribosomal RNA". It matches the Rfam family "Bacterial small subunit ribosomal RNA", at positions 28 to 507 of the family's 1533-position model. The record is from RNAcentral.
GACGAACGCUGGCGGCGUGCUUAACACAUGCAAGUCGAACGGAAAGGCCCUGCUUUUGUGGGGUGCUCGAGUGGCGAACGGGUGAGUAACACGUGAGUAACCUGCCCUUGACUUUGGGAUAACUUCAGGAAACUGGGGCUAAUACCGGAUAGGAGCUCCUGCUGCAUGGUGGGGGUUGGAAAGUUUCGGCGGUUGGGGAUGGACUCGCGGCUUAUCAGCUUGUUGGUGGGGUAGUGGCUUACCAAGGCUUUGACGGGUAGCCGGCCUGAGAGGGUGACCGGCGACAUUGGGACUGAGAUACGGCGCAGACUCCUCCGGGAGGCAGCAGUGGGGAAUAUUGCACAAUGGGCGGAAGCCUGAUGCAGCAACGCCGCGUGCGGGAUGACGGCCUUCGGGUUGUAAACCGCUUUCGCCUGUGACGAAGCGUGAGUGACGGUAAUGGGUAAAGAAGCACCGGCUAACUACGUG